Molecule: unclassified non-coding RNA, 397 nt
Filed under: uncultured fungus
Lineage: Eukaryota; Fungi
Description: partial contains 5.8S ribosomal RNA and internal transcribed spacer 2
Rfam family: 5.8S ribosomal RNA (bases 1-134)
Source: RNAcentral
UGGCUCUCGCAUCGAUGAAGAACGCAGCAAAGCGCGAAAUGUAAUGUGAAUUGCAGAAUUCAGUGAAUCAUCGAAUCUUUGAACGCACCUUGCGCUCUUGGGUCAUUCCUAGGAGCAUGCUUGUUUGAGUGUCGCGUACCUUCUCAACCCCGCCUUUCUUAAGGACAGGUUGCCCUUUUUUAAAUAAAGUGGGAUCAGGGUUGGAUCAUGACGUCCUGUCGCUUUCUUUUGAAGAAAGACAGACUGCGUUGAAAUGUAAAAAGCUGUAUCUUAGACUAGGCGGCUUGACCUGUUGUCAUAAGCUUAAAACUUUCAAUGGGAACGCUAGUCGGAAUGGGCUUACCAUAAAAUAAUGUUCAUAAACAUUGACCUCAAAUCAAGUAGGACUACCCGCUGA